CCGGCAAGGCGGGCACAACCAGGCAGCCAAUCAGGGGCACGCUCGCCUCCUCUACCCGGGCUGAAUGGCAUCGCCCCCCGGCCCUCCCCUCGCUCUGCCUCUUGCUCUCUCUCUCGCCAACCCCCCCACCUUUCUCUCUCCGCCGCCGCCGCCGCUCCGCAGCUGCCCGGGAUGAUUUUAUAAACAUUUUGCCAGCGGAUCAAUAGCCGUAUUGAUCAACCAUUGUGAGAGUGAUCCGUCUAAACCCCCCCCAAGCAGCCUGCAGCUCAGAGAGAGAGAGGGAGGAGCGAGAGAGAAAGAGAGAGAAAGAGAGAGAGAGUGAGAGAGGCUGCAGAGAGGACGAAGAAAGGAAAAGAGUAAGAGAGAGAGAAUGAGAGAGAGGAAAGGAAAGGAAAGGAGAGGGAGAGAGAGAGGUAGAGAGGGAAGAGAAGGGGAGAGCCAGACGAAGAGAGAGAAGCUGAAGGUGAGCGAAUGAAUGAACGAACGAACGAACGCAAGGGAGCGUGAGCCGGAGACAUUGGCAAUUCGCGCCCGAAACGCAUUCUAAUCGCUUUCUCGUUAAGCAGACAGAGGGAGGGGUGGCUAAUGAGUCUCGCCGUAGCCGUAAGUACGGGAGGUAAUUGAUGGAGAGAGAGAGAGAGAGGGCGAGAGACUGGACGAGAGAGCGAGAGAGAGAGAGAGAGAGAGAGAGAGAGAGAGAGAGCUAACGUACAUAUGACUGAAACAAAAACGAAAACGGAAACGAACACAGGUCUGGCCUGGAAAACGCCUGCAGACGUUGCGGACGAAGCCUCGUGCCGGAAAAUGCCAGACGAUGACGGCUGGCUCCCGAACAGGAAGGCCCGCUCAAUAUUUCUUGUUACGGCUUUGAAUAUGGUAAACGAAGCGUCGUCACGUUAGGGGACGUUAAUUGGACUGCCGUUCUGGGCGGGGAAUCGCUGUGGAAAUGCGCCUUGUAGUACUUUGUAGGAUUAUGCACAACAAGCGAAGCUCUGGACCACAAUGGAAUCGACAUUUGUUGGCCAAUCGACUGGAUAACAAUGCAAAACUAUUGGACAUUCCAGCACGUCCAGGACUUGCUGGAAGAUCAUGCAUUUGGAGUACUGCACUCUGGAUGAAGGAUGCAUCAUUUUGUGGGCUUGGAUUUUUAAAGGAAACCUGAAGGAAACAGUGCGGAAACAUCGGACAUGCUGGAUACCGUCUGCAGGAGUUGCCGGGCAGAAAAAGGUUGGAGAACAAUGGAUGUAAGCGGUGAGCGACAGAGGCAGACAGACGGACUGAUAGACAGACUGACCGGAGAUCGGGCCCAGCCUGCCACCUCGGUGAUCACGUGAGCUGAGCAGAGGGGAUCAGGCUGGAGAGCCCAGGGGAGGCCUAUAUUGAUUCCCCUCUAAGAGAAGUCCUGCUCCACUGCGCUUUGCACAGAGUUCAAGUGUGCUGCGACGGUCUGGGACCAGGCCUGGAUCAGGGGCCAUAAUGAGGAGAAUUGAUGCAAGACUUUGAACCACUAAUCGUAACAAUAGGAUCUGGGCGGCUGGGCCAAUCAAGUGAAGGCUGAGCAACAGUGUGCUUGCUGAGGGCCUUGGCUGUGAACUGAAUGCACAUACAUGUACAUAUAUACACACCAAUACAAACCUAUACAGCUCAGCUGAGUGAGGCUGUUUUGAGAAGAAAAAAAAAACAUGUUGACUACACCUUAUGUUGAUUAUCAACUUCUUGUUAUGCUGAAUUAAGGAUGCUAAGUCAUGCUGGGGAGAUGUAUAUUUACAUGCAAUAAAGAAAUUAAGCUUGA
Molecule: long non-coding RNA, 1792 nt
Organism: Astyanax mexicanus (Mexican tetra)
Lineage: Eukaryota; Metazoa; Chordata; Actinopteri; Characiformes; Acestrorhamphidae
Exons: 2
Source: RefSeq, a predicted model, not a curated record